AGCCUAAAGUUUUAUUUUAGGUCAGACCUGCCCGGUGCAAAAUGUUAACGGCCGCAGUAUCUUGACUGUGCUAAGGUAGCAAAAUAAUUUGGCUUUUAAAUGGAGUCGGGAAUGAAUGGAUUAAUGGGGUAAAGCUGUCUCCCCCAUAUUAGAUUUAACUUACUAACUAGGUGAAAAUGCCUAGAUAAAAGAAAAAAGACGAGAAGACCCUAGGAGUUUUUACAAAUAUCUAUAGAGAAUAGUUUUGCGUUUUUGUUGGGGCGACAUUGGAGUAAAAAUUUUAAACCUCCACUAAUUAGAUACGCCGACUUUGUAUGUGAGAAUAAACUACCCUAGGGAUAACAGCGUAAUUUUUUAAAAGCUUGCGACCUCGAUGUUGGACUAGGAAUUUAGUAGGUUAGCCGCCUACUUAUAAGGUUCUGUUCGAACCCUGUCUCCU
This 439-nucleotide ribosomal RNA is filed under the name Mourgona sp. 3 PK-2018. RNAcentral's name for it is "LSU rRNA". It matches the Rfam family "Bacterial large subunit ribosomal RNA", at positions 1829 to 2596 of the family's 2925-position model. Lineage: Eukaryota; Metazoa; Mollusca; Gastropoda; Caliphyllidae. The record is from RNAcentral.